CCUACGGGAGGCAGCAGUGGGGAAUUUUGGACAAUGGGCGCAAGCCUGAUCCAGCAAUGCCGCGUGCAGGAUGAAGGCCUUCGGGUUGUAAACUGCUUUUGUACGGAACGAAACGGCGAGCUCUAAUACAGUUUGCUAAUGACGGUACCGUAAGAAUAAGCACCGGCUAACUACGUGCCAGCAGCCGCGGUAAUACGUAGGGUGCGAGCGUUAAUCGGAAUUACUGGGCGUAAAGCGUGCGCAGGCGGUGAUGUAAGACAGAUGUGAAAUCCCCGGGCUCAACCUGGGACCUGCAUUUGUGACUGCAUCGCUAGAGUACGGUAGAGGGGGAUGGAAUUCCGCGUGUAGCAGUGAAAUGCGUAGAUAUGCGGAGGAACACCGAUGGCGAAGGCAAUCCCCUGGACCUGUACUGACGCUCAUGCACGAAAGCGUGGGGAGCAAACAGGAUUAGAUACCCUGGUAGUCCACGCCCUAAACGAUGUCAACUGGUUGUUGGGUCUUCACUGACUCAGUAACGAAGCUAAUGCGUGAAGUUGACCGCCUGGGGAGUACGGCCGCAAGGUUGAAACUCAAAUGAAUUGACGG
Molecule: ribosomal RNA, 585 nt
Filed under: uncultured prokaryote
Description: bacterial SSU rRNA
Rfam family: Bacterial small subunit ribosomal RNA
Source: RNAcentral